GGGCCCGCACAAGCGGCGGAGCAUGUGGAUUAAUUCGAUGCAACGCGAAGAACCUUACCUGGGUUUGACAUGCACUAGACGCGUCUAGAGAUAGGCGUUCCCUUGUGGCUGGUGUGCAGGUGGUGCA
Molecule: ribosomal RNA, 127 nt
Filed under: uncultured bacterium
Lineage: Bacteria
Description: partial 16S ribosomal RNA
Rfam family: Bacterial small subunit ribosomal RNA
Source: RNAcentral